UGAGGAGGUGUGUCCUAGUAGGAAGACCACUGUUAACACUGAGGUGGUGUAGUAGGAAGACCACUGUUAACACUGAGGAGGUGUGUCCCAGUAGGAAGACCACUGUUAACACUGAGGAGGUGUGUCCUAGUAGGAAGACCACUGUUAACACUGAGGAGGUGUGUCCUAUAGGAAGACCACUGUUAACACUGAGGAGGUGUGUCCUAGUAGGAAGACCACUGUUAACACUAAGGAGGUGUGUCCUAGUAGGAAGACCACUGAGGUGGUGUGUCCUAGUAGGAAGACCACUGAGGUGGUGUGUCCUAGUAGGAAGACCACUGAGGUGGUGUGUCCUAGUAGGAAGAUCUUCGUUUCUGGCCAUUUUGAGCCUGUAAUCAAACCCACAAAUGCUGACGCUCCAGAUACUCAAAUAGUCUAAAGAAGGCCAGUUGUAUUACUUCUUUAAUUAGGACAACAGUUUUCAGGUGUGCUAACAUCAUUGCAAAGGGGUUUUCUAAUGAUCAAUUAGCCUUUUAAAAUGAUAAACUUGGGUUAUCUAACACAACGUGCUAUUGGAACACAGGAGUGAUGGUUGCUGAUAAUGUACGCAUAUUAGAUAUUACAUAAAAAAUCUGCCGUUUCCAGCUACAAUAGUAAUUUACAACAUUAACAAUGUCUACACUGUAUUUCUG
Long non-coding RNA from Oncorhynchus tshawytscha (Chinook salmon), 671 nucleotides. Lineage: Eukaryota; Metazoa; Chordata; Actinopteri; Salmoniformes; Salmonidae. The record is from Ensembl.